AAGUCGUAACAAGGUUUCCGUAGGUGAACCUGCGGAAGGAUCAUUAUCGAUUCUAUCACACCUUCAAACAACCGUGAACUGUUCUCUGCCUCUUCGUAGUUUGGACCUUUUCUGUUUUUGGGAAAGGACCGAAAUACGAAGUUGUACGUGACUUCCCUUCGUUUCUCUCCCCUCUUCCGAGGGUUGAGUUUCGAACGGGGGGUUUCCAUUUUCAUUCAUUUAAAACCCUUUUCUUUAAAUGUCUGAUUUGUUUUAUUUUUGAAAUGUUUGGACAAAAAAAGAAGAAUCUUUUUUUUUUUGCCAACAUUUUCAUUUAAAAUAAAAAACACAAUACAACUCUUAGCAACGGAUCUCUCGGCUCUC
This 363-nucleotide unclassified non-coding RNA is filed under the name fungal sp. RNAcentral's name for it is "partial internal transcribed spacer region". The stretch from base 1 to 46 matches the Rfam family "Eukaryotic small subunit ribosomal RNA", at positions 1786 to 1831 of the family's 1831-position model. The record is from RNAcentral. Lineage: Eukaryota; Fungi.